UUCAUUUUGACGCGUCUUACAAUCUCUUACACUAAUGUGUUCAACGUUCAAUCGUCUCUUAUCCUCUUGAUCAGUAAUUUUAAAGUGUUAAAGCAGCACUACUUAGCUAAUAACGAUAGCUAGUAUGGCCGGAGUAUACAAUUCAUUUCACAUAGCUGACUUAUGGAUAGCAGGCUCUACGAAAGAAGUCUGUAUUGUUCAUGAUCUCUGGUUGUUAGAUGAUGGGAUGGCAUGCCUUUGGCCACCGGCUUCCAUGAAGGUUACAUCACAUGUAAAGCUUCAAAAGCUGCUGCGUUUGAACACAAAGCCAUCAUCAAUUUGGAUUCAUUAUUUCUGUAAAGUUCGCAAGUCUUUUGAAACCUUAGAAAAUGCCGAACUAUUUUUCAACUCAAGAAAUGUGGAAUUGAGUGAACAAUCAGCUGCUGAAGAAACAGAAAAAAUUCCCUUGAAAAGAGCCAGAAGACCAACAGAAAGAUACUCACCAACUCUAAGCUCAAAUGAGUCAUCUAGUGCAUCGGAAUCUGAUGAAGAAGCAGAAGCUGCUUCAAAAUCAGCAGCUAGUAGCAUCAAUCGAAGUUAUUCUGCCAGACACUAUCUGCAGUUACCUAAUAUUCCAAUGCCCUCUGCUCCAUCUAUCAUUUCCGGGCUCUCCCCGUCUUUAGAGGCUCUUACUGGGGUUAUUAAUGGAUCAUUGGAAUCAACUAGUAGUAGAGCAACCAGAAAGAAUGUGGACAAAACACAGCCGCAACAAACCCAAUCUUCUCUCUUCGCUGGCAUGCCGUUGCAUGACAAGUCAUUGUGCCAUGUUGCUUAUCCUUCCGCGAAUCCUGUGCGUCAAAAAAGGUCUAAGCUUACAGCUAACGAGUGCCCUCCUCCAUUGAUGCGUCCCAGCCACAAUCCCGCUACUAAUAGAAAUCUCGCUGCUAAUAGAAAUCCUACUGCUAAUAGAAAUCCCUCUGUUACACAACCGGUAUUCGGUCCUACCGCUCCACUUACUGUCAGUGUUCCUUCCCCGGUUCAGGUUAGCUCCUUGCUCCAACGGCCAUCUUAAAAUCGAGGGAAUCAGUUUCAAUCAGUGCUGAUAAACAUGUUAACAAAGCAACAAACUCAAAUUGACGUAUUAAUUCUGAACCAACAAGCGUCAUCAGCUGAUGCAACAAUUGACCAAAUGCCAGAAUGGUUGCCGAUCAACGACUACAUGCAAUUCCAGAGACUCAACAGGACUUUAGCAUUUACUCCAGGUAAAGAGAACAAAGUUCGAGACAAACUGCUGGCUUACUUCAAUUUUAUUCAUGGGAAAACUGCUGCUAAUAUGAUGACUCGUUGCAUGGGUGCACUAUUCACUAAUUCUAUGGCUGGAGAUUUGAACUGGAACGGAUUAGCUCGGGAAGGUGUAGCAAAACGAAAAUUUGGCGAUUCAGAAAGCCAAAAACUAAUUCACCUUGCUGUCAACCGGCGAUUCCCACAAGCUUCAAAGUUUGAAAUGGAGAAGGACUCCAAGGAUUUUCUCCGACACGCCCCAGCGCGCGUCAAGCAAACUGCAGCCAGAGCUGAGAAAGAGGAAGCAGCUAUGGUUGCACAUGCUGCUGGUGUUGCAGCCGGUGCACGUCAUCCCUUGGAUCACAGUUACGAUAAUGUUGAAAGUAAUAACUACUAGAAGUAAUUAGUGGAAAUCAACAUUCGACUAUUUUAUGUGUGACGAAUUUAUUGUUCAAAAACUGAGAAACCUUACUUUAAUUUAUUGUAUUUAUGUCUCUGUUUUUGUACCGUUUAUCAGCAAUACACACAAUAGUCGAACUCGAAUAAAACUAAAUGUUUAUUUUUAUAUAUCCAUGUAGGAAAGAGGAGGGGAAAUUCUAGUUCGAUAAGUAAAUUUAAGGGCAACAAUUACCUCAUAAAACGAGUCCCGGGGUUAUUUUUAAGACGUCGUGGGGUUAUUUAUAAGACGUCUCUGGUAAAUAGAAAAAUUCGUCUGUAAGACAUCUCAGUGACUUGGUAUGGAACGGUAAUUAAGACGUCCACAAUACAUCCAGAUGUCAUCUAUUGGGAUCAACACAAAACCAAGGGUGGACAUCCACAGGC
This 2082-nucleotide unclassified non-coding RNA is filed under the name Daphnia pulicaria. RNAcentral's name for it is "uncharacterized LOC124341230, transcript variant X2". Lineage: Eukaryota; Metazoa; Arthropoda; Branchiopoda; Diplostraca; Daphniidae. The record is from RNAcentral.